AGAAUUUGCAUUUCUGGCAAAUUCCCAAGUGAUGCUGAUGCUGCUGAUCAGGCCGCCUCACUUUGAAGACCACUGUUAAAGACAGUGGGAGCUCCCACUCCAUGAGAACAUGACAGGUGCCUGUGACCACAGCCUCCGUGCUCUCCAUGGGGAGAGGUGGGAUGUGCAGGACGAUGCUGAAGCACCAGCCCAGGUGUCUCAGCAAGGCAGCUGAGGGUCUGGGGCGGCUCCUGCCCGGCACAUGGUGGUCUCCUCCCUCUAGUCCUGUGCCCCUACAUGCCCCACUGCUCGUUUCAGAGUAGGGUUUUCAGGAAGGAGAGAGCUCAAAGAUUAGCAUGAGGACAAUGUGCAGUCAGAAUACCCCUCUUCCUCCUCCUAGCUUCUGAUGUCUCCAGAAAGCUCCAACUUGGCAGCAAAUCCACUUUAUAUUGUCUACUGUAGCCAACCUUUGGGACAGUGGGGGACAAAGAGAAGGGCCUGACGGCUUGCUGGGCAGGGCAUUCUUAGCCAAAAUCCCAAACCAGACUCUGCCUGUGGCCAUCCAAUAUCCUUCUCCCUUUCUGCCCUUCAAGCAGACCCCACUUUGGUUCAGGAUGGCAAUGUGCCCAGCUAAAAACAGUCACUAUGGGGCACCAGGCAACCCAGUCCUGGCCAAUGACACCUACGUGCAAGUCAUGGGGUAUAGAUUUUUGGAAGGCGUUUUAGAAGGAACACGUUGGGCUGGCACAGCCCUGCACCCUUCAGAUGCCCAGAAAGCAGAGGUGACAGCGGGAAAGAGGAGCAGCCAUCUUGCUACGUGAGGCAACGAACACACGGGAAAGGACCUGGUGAGCAGAGCAGAGCAAAAGAUGGAAGCACCGGGGUUUAGCUUCCGCUGUGCCCAGGCCUGGACUGUUAUAGUCUGAUGCCCUGACAGCUAACCUGGUUUUCUAUUGUUUCGGCUGAAAGUAUUCCUAACUGAUUCAAGUGGUAACAGUGGAAAGAGCACGAGAUGGGCCCUUAGGACUCAUCCUGGCUUUGUAACAGGCUGUGUGACUCAGGGAAAGUCAUGGCUCCUCUCUGAGCCCGUUUCUUCAUCUGUGGGGACGAACCAGCAGAUCUCCUUCUGUGGCUCCGAAUCAAGAACCAAGCUGGUCCCAACCAAAAGUUCCAGGGCUGGGAAUAAGCAGGGGUUUCAGCAAUGGGGCAGGAAGUCACCUUGGGCAUGUGUGACGUCCUGGGGUUGGAGUCUUAACAGUGUUGAACCGAAGGGAGAUCCUGAAGCACACAAUUAGAGAUGUCAGCAAUCCAUUUGUCUUCAGUCCCUUUGUCAUAAACCUUUGAACAUCCCCAAAGGGGUUCACAUUUGUCCCUGGAAGAAUCCUCGGGUAGCUCUGCAACCUGUGUCCCGGACCACAGCCCAAGUAGUUAGGCGAAUGGCCAGUUAGAGGUCUCACUGCUCCUGGGAAGGACAGAGCCUGGCGCCACCUCAGGAGAGAGGCCUGAGACGCUUCUGAUUGGUGUCAGCUGGGUCACGAGUCACCCUCUGUGAUGUGUGGACUGGAUUAGGCCUGGAUCACAUGUUAGACCCCUGGUUCUGGGCAUGCAGAGCCAUCCGCCCUAGAAGUACAAGGUUUGAGAC
This 1621-nucleotide long non-coding RNA is filed under the name Equus asinus (donkey). RNAcentral describes it as "lncRNA (ENSEASG00005026259.1)". Lineage: Eukaryota; Metazoa; Chordata; Mammalia; Perissodactyla; Equidae. The record is from RNAcentral.